This 512-nucleotide ribosomal RNA is filed under the name uncultured bacterium. RNAcentral describes it as "partial 16S ribosomal RNA". It matches the Rfam family "Bacterial small subunit ribosomal RNA", at positions 28 to 523 of the family's 1533-position model. The record is from RNAcentral.
GACGAACGCUGGCGGCGUGCCUAAUACAUGCAAGUCGAGCGGACAGAUGGGAGCUUGCUCCCGGAAGUCAGCGGCGGACGGGUGAGUAACACGUGGGCAACCUGCCUGUAAGACUGGGAUAACUUCGGGAAACCGGAGCUAAUACCGGAUACGUUCUUUUCUCGCAUGAGAGAAGAUGGAAAGAUGGUUUCGGCUAUCACUUACAGAUGGGCCCGCGGCGCAUUAGCUAGUUGGUGAGGUAAUGGCUCACCAAGGCAACGAUGCGUAGCCGACCUGAGAGGGGGAUCGGCCACGCUGGGACUGAGACACGGCCCAGACUCCUACGGGAGGCAGCAGUAGGGAAUCUUCCGCAAUGGACGAAAGUCUGACGGAGCAACGCCGCGUGAACGAUGAAGGCCUUCGGGUCGUAAAGUUCUGUUGUUAGGGAAGAACAAGUACCAGAGUAACUGCUGGUACCUUGACGGUACCUAACCAGAAAGCCACGGCUAACUACGUGCCAGCCGCCGCCGUAA